RNAcentral lists this ribosomal RNA (253 nucleotides) under uncultured bacterium. RNAcentral describes it as "partial 16S ribosomal RNA". It matches the Rfam family "Bacterial small subunit ribosomal RNA", at positions 524 to 776 of the family's 1533-position model. The record is from RNAcentral.
GACGAGGGGUCCUAGCGUUGUUCGGAAUCACUGGGCGUAAAGCGUAUGUAGGCGGCUUUUCAAGUCAGGUGUGAAAUCCCAUGGCUUAACCAUGGAACUGCAUUUGAAACUGUAAAGCUUGAGUAUUGGAGAGGAUGGUAGAAUUCCUGGUGUAGUGGUGAAAUACGUAGAUAUCUGGAGGAAUACCGGUGGCGAAGGCGGCAUCCUGGACCGACAUUGACGCUGAUGAGCGAAAGCUAGGGGAGCAAACGGG